RNAcentral lists this ribosomal RNA (253 nucleotides) under uncultured bacterium. RNAcentral describes it as "partial 16S ribosomal RNA". It matches the Rfam family "Bacterial small subunit ribosomal RNA", at positions 524 to 776 of the family's 1533-position model. The record is from RNAcentral.
UACAGAGGUCCCAAGCGUUGUUCGGAUUCACUGGGCGUAAAGGGUGCGUAGGUGGUUGGGCAAGUCUGAUGUGAAAUCUCCGGGCUUAACCCGGAAAUGGCAUUGGAAACUGCCUGGCUAGAGUGUUGGAGGGGGGACUGGAAUUCUCGGUGUAGCAGUGAAAUUCGUAGAUAUUGGGAAGAACACCGGUGGCGAAGGCGGCGACCUGGUCCGAUACUGACGCUGAGGCGCGAAAGCGUGGGGAGCAAACAGG